This 2552-nucleotide ribosomal RNA is filed under the name Salmonella enterica. Its description in RNAcentral is "partial 23S ribosomal RNA". It matches the Rfam family "Bacterial large subunit ribosomal RNA", at positions 396 to 2925 of the family's 2925-position model. The record is from RNAcentral. Lineage: Bacteria; Pseudomonadati; Pseudomonadota; Gammaproteobacteria; Enterobacterales; Enterobacteriaceae.
GCUGUGAGCUCGAUGAGUAGGGCGGGACACGUGGUAUCCUGUCUGAAUAUGGGGGGACCAUCCUCCAAGGCUAAAUACUCCUGACUGACCGAUAGUGAACCAGUACCGUGAGGGAAAGGCGAAAAGAACCCCGGCGAGGGGAGUGAAAAAGAACCUGAAACCGUGUACGUACAAGCAGUGGGAGCACCCUUUGGGGUGUGACUGCGUACCUUUUGUAUAAUGGGUCAGCGACUUAUAUUCUGUAGCAAGGUUAACCGAAUAGGGGAGCCGGAGGGAAACCGAGUCUUAAUUGGGCGUUAAGUUGCAGGGUAUAGACCCGAAACCCGGUGAUCUAGCCAUGGGCAGGUUGAAGGUUGGGUAACACUAACUGGAGGACCGAACCGACUAAUGUUGAAAAAUUAGCGGAUGACCUGUGGCUGGGGGUGAAAGGCCAAUCAAACCGGGAGAUAGCUGGUUCUCCCCGAAAGCUAUUUAGGUAGCGCCUCGUGAAUUCAUCUCCGGGGGUAGAGCACUGUUUCGGCUAGGGGGCCAUCCCGGCUUACCAACCCGAUGCAAACUGCGAAUACCGGAGAAUGUUAUCACGGGAGACACACGGCGGGUGCUAACGUCCGUCGUGAAGAGGGAAACAACCCAGACCGCCAGCUAAGGUCCCAAAGUCAUGGUUAAGUGGGAAACGAUGUGGGAAGGCCCAGACAGCCAGGAUGUUGGCUUAGAAGCAGCCAUCAUUUAAAGAAAGCGUAAUAGCUCACUGGUCGAGUCGGCCUGCGCGGAAGAUGUAACGGGGCUAAACCAUGCACCGAAGCUGCGGCAGCGACGCUGAUGCGUUGUUGGGUAGGGGAGCGUUCUGUAAGCCUGUGAAGGUGGCCUGUGAGGGUUGCUGGAGGUAUCAGAAGUGCGAAUGCUGACAUAAGUAACGAUAAAGCGGGUGAAAAGCCCGCUCGCCGGAAGACCAAGGGUUCCUGUCCAACGUUAAUCGGGGCAGGGUGAGUCGACCCCUAAGGCGAGGCCGAAAGGCGUAGUCGAUGGGAAACGGGUUAAUAUUCCCGUACUUGGUGUUACUGCGAAGGGGGGACGGAGAAGGCUAUGUUGGCCGGGCGACGGUUGUCCCGGUUUAAGCGUGUAGGCUGGUUUUCCAGGCAAAUCCGGAAAAUCAAGGCUGAGGCGUGACGACGAGGCACUACGGUGCUGAAGCAACAAAUGCCCUGCUUCCAGGAAAAGCCUCUAAGCAUCAGGUAACAUCAAAUCGUACCCCAAACCGACACAGGUGGUCAGGUAGAGAAUACCAAGGCGCUUGAGAGAACUCGGGUGAAGGAACUAGGCAAAAUGGUGCCGUAACUUCGGGAGAAGGCACGCUGACACGUAGGUGAAGUGAUUUACUCAUGGAGCUGAAGUCAGUCGAAGAUACCAGCUGGCUGCAACUGUUUAUUAAAAACACAGCACUGUGCAAACACGAAAGUGGACGUAUACGGUGUGACGCCUGCCCGGUGCCGGAAGGUUAAUUGAUGGGGUCAGCGCAAGCGAAGCUCCUGAUCGAAGCCCCGGUAAACGGCGGCCGUAACUAUAACGGUCCUAAGGUAGCGAAAUUCCUUGUCGGGUAAGUUCCGACCUGCACGAAUGGCGUAAUGAUGGCCAGGCUGUCUCCACCCGAGACUCAGUGAAAUUGAACUCGCUGUGAAGAUGCAGUGUACCCGCGGCAAGACGGAAAGACCCCGUGAACCUUUACUAUAGCUUGACACUGAACAUUGAGCCUUGAUGUGUAGGAUAGGUGGGAGGCUUUGAAGUGUGGACGCCAGUCUGCAUGGAGCCGGCCUUGAAAUACCACCCUUUAAUGUUUGAUGUUCUAACGUGGACCCGUGAUCCGGGUUGCGGACAGUGUCUGGUGGGUAGUUUGACUGGGGCGGUCUCCUCCUAAAGAGUAACGGAGGAGCACGAAGGUUGGCUAAUCCUGGUCGGACAUCAGGAGGUUAGUGCAAUGGCAUAAGCCAGCUUGACUGCGAGCGUGACGGCGCGAGCAGGUGCGAAAGCAGGUCAUAGUGAUCCGGUGGUUCUGAAUGGAAGGGCCAUCGCUCAACGGAUAAAAGGUACUCCGGGGAUAACAGGCUGAUACCGCCCAAGAGUUCAUAUCGACGGCGGUGUUUGGCACCUCGAUGUCGGCUCAUCACAUCCUGGGGCUGAAGUAGGUCCCAAGGGUAUGGCUGUUCGCCAUUUAAAGUGGUACGCGAGCUGGGUUUAGAACGUCGUGAGACAGUUCGGUCCCUAUCUGCCGUGGGCGCUGGAGAACUGAGGGGGGCUGCUCCUAGUACGAGAGGACCGGAGUGGACGCAUCACUGGUGUUCGGGUUGUCAUGCCAAUGGCACUGCCCGGUAGCUAAAUGCGGAAGAGAUAAGUGCUGAAAGCAUCUAAGCACGAAACUUGCCCCGAGAUGAGUUCUCCCUGAGACUUUAGGUCUCCUGAAGGAACGUUGAAGACGACGACGUUGAUAGGCCGGGUGUGUAAGCGCAGCGAUGCGUUGAGCUAACCGGUACUAAUGAACCGUGAGGCUUAACCUUACA